AACUCAUAGCCAAGCGGUAAGGCAGCGGUUUUCGAAUCGUUAUGCGCUGGUUCGAAUCCAGCUGAGUUUU
This 70-nucleotide transfer RNA is filed under the name Sporolactobacillus spathodeae. Its description in RNAcentral is "tRNA-Xxx". It matches the Rfam family "tRNA". From Rfam's summary of the family: Transfer RNA (tRNA) molecules are approximately 80 nucleotides in length. Their secondary structure includes four short double-helical elements and three loops (D, anti-codon, and T loops). Lineage: Bacteria; Bacillati; Bacillota; Bacilli; Caryophanales; Sporolactobacillaceae. The record is from RNAcentral.